This 1402-nucleotide long non-coding RNA is filed under the name Sorghum bicolor (sorghum). Its description in RNAcentral is "long non-coding RNA (SBIC_LNC017755)". The record is from RNAcentral. Lineage: Eukaryota; Viridiplantae; Streptophyta; Magnoliopsida; Poales; Poaceae.
ACAAAUAUGGAAAACUACCACCAAUCUACUCCAGCACCAACUUCAAUUAUGAUGACACUUUUCAUCGGCUCUGCUUCAUCGGCAAAUUUUAUUACGUCCUUGUAUCUUCCUUAGCAAUUUCCACACCCUUCUUCAUCGGUAUCGAUGAUCAUCGGUCAUCAGCACUCGAUCGGCAAUGAUGAGUAGCUAUCAUCUCAACCCUCAGGCCAGCAACAUAUUUCACCCGUCAUAUUAUCAUCGGCAUUACCUACCAUCGGCAAUCAUCUCAUCGGUUUGUCAUAGUAUUUUUCUAACUGCCGAUCAGUUCUCCCCAGCCAUCCUGACCUGCGCCUAAAAAUGGUGUCAACACAAACGCAAUAGGAGAAGACGCCAAGCCCACCGUCAGGCUGCCUAAUUUCACUGCGGAUGGAAAGGCUUUCCUGGCAAGAUUGUGAAAUAUAAAGAUGGCCUCAUGGAGCAAGAAGAGAACACGCGAGCACCCCAAUGGAGUGAGUGGGCAAAAGAAGCUGAAAGGAUGGACCAAAUUGCCAAGAAAGAGAAAGAGGAAAUCUUAGCAUGAUUAGAAGUAUGGAAGAAGGAGAACAGAGAUGAAGAGUUGGAACUGGAGAAGAAACAAGCAAAAGAGACAGCAGCAAGAAGGAAGGAAGACGCACCUAACACAUCACCACAAAACGGGGAGUUGACUGAGGUUACCUCAGACAAUGAACCCACUGAGUAAGUCCUCUCCUCUAUCUAAGUCCUGUCGGUAGACUUUAAAUUUCAUACCCUAGCCAUAAGGUCAGAAUGGUAGUUAUCUAGUUAAAUUAGCAUGCAUUAGUAAUUUCACUUUAAUACACCUAGUAGCAUAUUUAUUUCUCUUGGCAUAUUAAUACAAAAAAUAUUUACUGCUUUAAUCACUGCAUCAUAAAUACCAAAAGCCCAUGUGAGUAAACUUAUGGUAAAUCCUGAGGGAUAUUUAUUGUGGUGGCAUAAAAAACUAAAUUGCAUUCAUAUAUAUUUCAUGCAUUAUAAAAUCAAAAAAUACAAAAAAAAAUAAUUUUGCAAAAUUAGCUCAUAAGAAUAAUCAAUUGCUCAUUGGCUGACCGCUAACCCAUUAUUAAAUUCGUGCCUCGAGUUUUGGUUUUCUUGUUGGAGUAUGACUAUGCAGGAAUGACAUCAUAGCAAGGAGAGAGUCCAUCAGUGGCAACCACCAGGUCCGCUACUGGAUAGCUCACUCUAAAGGACAUCAACACCAAGUAUUGCAAAUAUCUAGCUUGGAGGAGGAGCAUCCCCUAGUUAUAAGGUAAUUAUAUCUAAGUGGUUUUUGAGUCUAUAUAGUUAUAAAAAUACCAAAAAUAUGUGAGCACAUGAAGGUUCACCAUAGUAUCAUAUAGUCAUAAAAAAAUACCAAAAGUACGUGGGC